This 69-nucleotide transfer RNA is filed under the name Ictidomys tridecemlineatus (thirteen-lined ground squirrel). RNAcentral describes it as "Spermophilus tridecemlineatus (thirteen-lined ground squirrel) tRNA". It matches the Rfam family "tRNA". Rfam says of the family: Transfer RNA (tRNA) molecules are approximately 80 nucleotides in length. Their secondary structure includes four short double-helical elements and three loops (D, anti-codon, and T loops). Lineage: Eukaryota; Metazoa; Chordata; Mammalia; Rodentia; Sciuridae. The record is from Rfam by way of RNAcentral.
GGAGCUGUGGCUCAGUGGCAGAGCACUUACCUAGCAUGUGUGAGGCACUGGUUUUGAUCCUCAGCACCA